AGAGUUUGAUCAUGGCUCAGAUGGAACGUGGCGGCAGGCUUUAACACAUGCAAGUCGGAACGGUAACAGGGAAGGAAGCUUGCUUUUCUUUGCUGACGAGUGGCGGACGGGUGAGGUAAUGCUUGGGAAUCUGGCUUAUGGAGGGGGAUAACUACGGGAAACUGUAGCUAAUACCGCGUAAUAUCUUCGGAUUAAAGGGUGGGACCGUAAGGCCACCUGCCAUAAGAUGAGCCCAAGUGGGAUUAGGUAGUUGGUGGGGUAAAGGCCUACCAAGCCGACGAUCUCUAGCUGGUCUGAGAGGAUGACCAGCCACACUGGAACUGAGACACGGUCCAGACUCCUACGGGAGGCAGCAGUGGGGAAUAUUGCACAAUGGGGGGAACCCUGAUGCAGCCAUGCCGCGUGAAUGAAGAAGGCCUUCGGGUUGUAAAGUUCUUUCGGUGAUGAGGAAGGCGGCUGUUUUAAUAGAACAAUCGAUUGACGUCAGUCACAGAAGAAGCACCGGCUAACUCCGUGCCAGCAGCCGCGGUAAUACGGAGGGUGCGAGCGUUAAUCGGAAUGACUGAGCGUAAAGGGCACGCAGGCGGUGACUUAAGUGAGAUGUGAAAGCCCCGGGCUUAACCUGGGAAUUGCAUUUCAUACUGGGUCGCUAGAGUAUUUUAGGGAGGGGUAGAAUUCCACGUGUAGCGGUGAAAUGCGUAGAGAUGUGGAGGAAUACCGAAGGCGAAGGCAGCCCCUUGGGAAUAUACUGACGCUCAUGUGCGAAAGCGUGGGGAGCAAACAGGAUUAGAUACCCUGGUAGUCCACGCUGUAAACGCUGUCGAUUUGGGGAUUGGGCUUUAAGCUUGGUGCCCGUAGCU
RNAcentral lists this ribosomal RNA (860 nucleotides) under uncultured bacterium. RNAcentral describes it as "bacterial SSU rRNA". It matches the Rfam family "Bacterial small subunit ribosomal RNA", at positions 8 to 853 of the family's 1533-position model. The record is from RNAcentral.